This 606-nucleotide ribosomal RNA is filed under the name uncultured rumen bacterium. RNAcentral's name for it is "bacterial SSU rRNA". It matches the Rfam family "Bacterial small subunit ribosomal RNA", at positions 34 to 645 of the family's 1533-position model. The record is from RNAcentral.
CGCUGGCGGCGUGCUUACACAUGCAAGUCGAACGGAGCUUAAGAAGGAAGCUUGCUUUCAUUUUAAGCUUAGUGGCGGACGGGUGAGUAACGCGUGAGCAACCUGCCCUAGAGUGGGGAAUAACACCGAGAAAUCGGUGCUAAUACCGCAUAAUGUCGGAGGACCGCAUGAUCUUUCGACCAAAGGAUUUAUUCGCUUUAGGAUGGGCUCGCGUCCGAUUAGGCAGUUGGCGGGGUAACGGCCCACCAAACCGACGAUCGGUAGCCGAACUGAGAGGUUGAUCGGCCACAUUGGGACUGAGACACGGCCCAGACUCCUACGGGAGGCAGCAGUGGGGAAUAUUGGGCAAUGGGCGAAAGCCUGACCCAGCAACGCCGCGUGAAGGAUGAAGGUCUUCGGAUUGUAAACUUCUUUGAUUGGGGAAGAAUAAAUGACCUACCCAAAGAACAAGUCACGGCUAACUACGUGCCAGCAGCCGCGGUAAUACGUAGGUGACAAGCGUUAUCCGGAUUUACUGGGUGUAAAGGGCGUGUAGGCGGCUUUGCAAGUCAAAAGUGAAAUUCCCGGGCUUAACCUGGGCGCUGCUUCUGAAACUGUAAAGCUUGA